CGACCCCUAAGGCGAGGCCGAAAGGCGUAGUCGAUGGGAAACAGGUUAAUAUUCCUGUACUUGGUGUUACUGCGAAGGGGGGACGGAGAAGGCUAUGUUAGCCGGGCGACGGUUGUCCCGGUUUAAGCAUGUAGGCUGAUUGUCCAGGCAAAUCCGGAUAAUCAAGGCUGAGGUGUGAUGACGAGGCACUACGGUGCUGAAGUAACAAAUGCCCUGCUUCCAGGAAAAGCCUCUAAGCAUCAGGUAACAUUAAAUCGUACCCCAAACCGACACAGGUGGUCAGGUAGAGAAUACCAAGGCGCUUGAGAGAACUCGGGUGAAGGAACUAGGCAAAAUGGUGCCGUAACUUCGGGAGAAGGCACGCUGGUGUGUAGGUGAAGUCCCUGCGG
This 389-nucleotide ribosomal RNA is filed under the name Klebsiella pneumoniae. Its description in RNAcentral is "bacterial LSU rRNA". It matches the Rfam family "Bacterial large subunit ribosomal RNA", at positions 1385 to 1779 of the family's 2925-position model. The record is from RNAcentral. Lineage: Bacteria; Pseudomonadati; Pseudomonadota; Gammaproteobacteria; Enterobacterales; Enterobacteriaceae.